This 73-nucleotide transfer RNA is filed under the name Camelus ferus (Wild Bactrian camel). It matches the Rfam family "tRNA". From Rfam's summary of the family: Transfer RNA (tRNA) molecules are approximately 80 nucleotides in length. Lineage: Eukaryota; Metazoa; Chordata; Mammalia; Artiodactyla; Camelidae. The record is from Rfam by way of RNAcentral.
GAGGGUAUAGCUCAAGCGGCAGAGCACACGCUCAGCAUACACAUGGUUCUGGGUUCAAUCCCCAGUACCUCCU